GGGGAAUUUUGGACAAUGGGCGCAAGCCUGAUCCAGCCAUGCCGCGUGCGGGAAGAAGGCCUUCGGGUUGUAAACCGCUUUUGUCGGGGAAGAAAACUUCUGGGCUAAUACCCCGGGAGGAUGACGGUACCCGAAGAAUAAGCACCGGCUAACUACGUGCCAGCAGCCGCGGUAAUACGUAGGGUGCAAGCGUUAAUCGGAAUUACUGGGCGUAAAGCGUGCGCAGGCGGUGAUGCAAGACAGAUGUGAAAUCCCCGGGCUUAACCUGGGAACUGCAUUUGUGACUGCAUUGCUGGAGUGCGGCAGAGGGGGAUGGAAUUCCGCGUGUAGCAGUGAAAUGCGUAGAUAUGCGGAGGAACACCGAUGGCGAAGGCAAUCCCCUGGGCCUGCACUGACGCUCAUGCACGAAAGCGUGGGGAGCAAAC
Molecule: ribosomal RNA, 425 nt
Filed under: uncultured bacterium
Lineage: Bacteria
Description: bacterial SSU rRNA
Rfam family: Bacterial small subunit ribosomal RNA
Source: RNAcentral